UCUGUUCUGUUGUUUUAUCAUUUGCCUCACCACCUUUUUGUUGAAUAAAUCUUCAUUGAAUGGACUGAACUUCUCUGUGGCUUAAUCAUGCAUUCUGACUGAUGCCCCAUGACGAUGGCAAUCAACCUCUAAAACGGAACCCUCCUUAAAGUUAUAUUACAGUUUACAUGGG
Molecule: long non-coding RNA, 172 nt
Organism: Sander lucioperca (pikeperch)
Lineage: Eukaryota; Metazoa; Chordata; Actinopteri; Perciformes; Percidae
Exons: 3
Source: RefSeq, a predicted model, not a curated record